RNAcentral lists this transfer RNA (71 nucleotides) under Rhipicephalus microplus (southern cattle tick). RNAcentral's name for it is "tRNA-Ala". It matches the Rfam family "tRNA". Rfam says of the family: Transfer RNA (tRNA) molecules are approximately 80 nucleotides in length. Their secondary structure includes four short double-helical elements and three loops (D, anti-codon, and T loops). The record is from Rfam by way of RNAcentral. Lineage: Eukaryota; Metazoa; Arthropoda; Arachnida; Ixodida; Ixodidae.
GCGUCGGUGGUUCAGUGGUAGAAUACUCACCUGGCACGCGGGUGACCCGGGUUCGAUUCCCGGCCGACGCA